Molecule: long non-coding RNA, 3321 nt
Organism: Hylaeus anthracinus
Lineage: Eukaryota; Metazoa; Arthropoda; Insecta; Hymenoptera; Colletidae
Exons: 3
Source: RefSeq, a predicted model, not a curated record
GCGGAGAUAGUCUCAAACCACCUCCAGGAGAUAGGGGGGCACCUGGAAAUAAUCCAGCGCCACCGCUAUCUCCCUCCAGGGCAGGGUGUUGAAGGCGUUGGAUAUGUCCAACGACACAGCAAUCAACACCCGGCCCCGAGCGACAGCCCUUUCCUGGAGGAGGCGCAAACGCUCCAACGCGUCCAUCGUUGAGCGACCCCUCCGAGUCCGUCACCCCUGCGGCUGUUUUCACACAAAACAAAGAAAACCCGUCCUCCCCUCCCGUCGAUAUUCCUUCGUUCCCUUCCCGAAGGGCGGCACUCCACCCUGGCUAGCCACCCUCUCCUUCGUCGACCUGCGCCUUUCUUCGAUCGCGGCUCGAAAGUUCGCAGCCCGCGGUUAUGGGAGCAAGGGGAGACGGAAAGCGUCGUCACCAUUAGCUCGCUGGACAGCCUUCCAAUUACGGAAAUGGUGGGACCCGGGGCGUGGAGGGGUUGACGAGAGGAAAAGUGUCGUUGAUAGGCAGCCUAGGGACACGCGAAGGGUUGAGAUAUGAUUCCCUUCCAUUUUUAUUUUGGUAGAUUAGAAGAGUUUCUAUCACGUUGAUAAUAUUAGCACAAGAUUUCUUGUACCUCUGUAACAAUUCCUCCAUUCUAUAACAAUGCAUUUUUUCUUAGUCUACGUUUCAUCCGUUUUAGUUUUUAAUGUUAUUAUUAAGAAUUACUGUUACUAUUAAAUAUUGCUACUAUAUCUCUUUGGUUUAUACUAGUAUCGCAUUAGAAGAACGACUGCGCUCGUGGUGGCUGGAGAAUGCCGUCUUUGGCAGACAGCGUGGCACCGAAGGCUGUCUAUCCUUCUUUUUUUUUUCCUCGGGCGUGGCAAUAAGGAAGUGGGCCCGCUGCUUAAGAAAACAGAGAGCCGCCAAUAUCGAGGCAGGCCCGGCCGACUGCCUGAGAAAACAGUGAACCGUUUUCGGAAUCCUGUCGAGGAUGCGAGCCGGACUUGGCUUUCCGUCAUGAAUGAAAACCUGAAUGCUCGCGAGGACGACGAGAAAUGCGACUGACGCGUCUGCAGCCAGACGUGGGUAAAACGAUAGGCUAGCUAACAAAUUUCAAAGCUUAACAUUAAAAUUAAUAGAUCAAGAUGAAAGUUAACGCACUUUGGUUAGAAAAUAAAAUGUACAAUUAAUUAAAGAUGAAUUAUAAUAAUAAAGAUAGUGUAGAAGUCUGUAUGAAAUUGAGAAAAUCAUGAAGUGAGUUAGUGUCAGGGAUGUGACAGGAUUUGGAAGUGGAAAGGAGACCCAGGCCCUUUAGGAUUCAAAACGAAACAGACGAUCGUGUUUCUAGGCUGUCUGCCGCAAGACAGCGUGGCACCAGCGGCCAGGGUAGGCGGUGACCGCUUAAUUAACGGCCUGACGAAAGGCAGCGGCAAUUAAUACUUCCUUCCAGGCCCUGGUGUCCCUUGGUCCAGCUUGCACGUGUGAAAUACCAGUAGGCGAUGUUUGUCACUGCGUUGUCACACUGAGAUUUCUCUCUCUAUACUCGCCACUGAGCUAAACAAUGCAGUGAUUAUGUAAACAAACACCGCUGGGUGGGAAACAAAGCAUUAUUGACCAAACAAAGUAUUGGCGGUAGACUUAGCGUCGAAACUGAGCGUUUCGGCUCCUGCAGAGUCAGGUCUAAUCCAAACAGUAUUAAAAGUUCUCCAAGGUUGCUGAUGCAUGUACGAAUGUGAGACUUUCAUCCCGUGGGAGCGUACCGCUUUUACAACAAGUCUGUCCGCAAUUAAACAACGUCCAAUCGCAUCCUUGCAUUCGAUCCUUGGGUUCGAUCGAUCCCUGCUUACGAAGCAGAACUCGUUAUCGCUCCUCGAGCGAUGCCAAUCCGUCUUUACGCCUAACGAGUUGCGGGAACGACAGAAAGUUCGGUGAAGGUGCAAAACGGAUACACAAUGUGUGUAUCUUUCGUGGCCAUAAUGGAGCUUAAUGGAGCUGACUGUCAGCGCGGAGUUUCUCCUUGUCUCGGUAGCAGUUCGCGAUUGGACAAUGCGUGCUCGGUAGCCAUACUGCCUCCGUUAUUUGACAAGACGUGUCCUCGCACACGUGGCCACACAUACGGCGAUCAUUGUAUUGCGAAUGCCGUAUCGUGUCAGUGUAGUGGUCGAAGGAAGAUGAAGCAGAGUUUGGAGAAAGGGUUGAAAUCGAACUAACGACUAAGUUGGCGUCAGUGGAGGUCUGGACAUCUAAAAAAAUGUUUGGGUCACGCUUGGACUCUCAAGCAUUAAUUUCUCCAUUUCUUCUUUGAUCCUGAGUGUACUAAUAACUCUGAUAUGGAUUAUUUCUGCAUUUGGGACAUGUUGCUGACCCACCAACCUCGCAGAACUCCGGACCCUGACUUGGCGGCUUCUUUCGCGACAAGCCCGUCGAUCGACGAUCCUUCGUUCAGUGACGACGACCAUCGGAGUCAAGCCAUUCUAGGAGGGCUGGUGUUUUGACACGAUGGCACCUCGGAGGAUAAUCCUUUAAACGGCCACGACGGGUGGUCCUCCGCGAGUCACCUUUCCCGCAGGACUUGGCCCGUCGCUUCCGCCUUUAAUCCCGUUGGCCAAUCCCGCGCACGAGCACUUCCUAGCGUCCUCGAAGCCGGGAAAGUCUGCGGUUAAUCCUGCGAAAGUCUGAGAGCCCCCAUACCCUGGCUUCUGUGUACUGUUGCCGAAUUACCAUCAGGAAUUGUUCGAAAAUGUGGAAAUCGGAGAUAAAGUCCACUUCCUUUCGGGCAGUUUCUCGUCCGUCGAUGAUAGUUUGAAGAUAGAGCGUAGAUCGCGAUCGAAGUUUGUACCGAGCGAUAUAUGUAGAUUUUUUUGUGUGUUAGAACACAAUGCCGUCGUUGUCCUAGGAUUACGCGCGCACGAGUUAGGAUUCGACGGAGCGCAUGGCUAGGCUCGUAGAACCCGAUAUUCGAACAGAGAUCCAACUGUCAGACUCGAGAAUCGUAGAAACUUGUGAAGCCUCGGAUGAAAUUGUCAGGUUCGCGCUGGAUACGAAGAGUGAAACCGAGAACUUAGUUUGUAACUUAUAAUUAGACUGAGAAUCUUUAUGCAAAAUAAAAUCUUUACGAAUGUACGUAUGUACAAAAAUUCAAGCUAAGUAGGAAUUUAUUUUGUUCUGUAAAUAUUACGAUAGGAAUUUUACUUUCAACAUUUUUUUAUGUUUCUCAUGCUCAAUGCAUUUUGUAUUCGCAGUCUGCUUAUAAUAAAAUAGGAUGAGUCACGUCAAAGUGACAAAUUGUAUUCGGUUGUCUAGGUAUUGGUAGUAAAGAAGAGCAAUAAAACAUCUAUCUACAA